CCCUGAUACUUUAAGUAUCCUAAAGGGUUGUCGGAGACUACGACGUUGAUAGGUCAGGUGUGUAAGUGCUGUGAGGCAUUGAGCUAACUGAUACUAAUUGCCCGUGAGGCUUAACCAUACAACACCCAAGGGGUUU
RNAcentral lists this ribosomal RNA (136 nucleotides) under Vibrio parahaemolyticus. RNAcentral's name for it is "partial 23S ribosomal RNA". The stretch from base 1 to 118 matches the Rfam family "Bacterial large subunit ribosomal RNA", at positions 2813 to 2925 of the family's 2925-position model. Lineage: Bacteria; Pseudomonadati; Pseudomonadota; Gammaproteobacteria; Vibrionales; Vibrionaceae. The record is from RNAcentral.